CUUUCUUUGCUGGCGACCGGCGCACGGGUGAGUAACACGUAUCCAACCUGCCCUUUACUCGGGGAUAGCCUUUCGAAAGAAAGAUUAAUACCCGAUAGCAUAAUGAUUCCGCAUGGUUUCAUUAUUAAAGGAUUCCGGUAAAGGAUGGGGAUGUGUUCCAUUAGGUUGUUGGUGAGGUAACGGCCCACCAAGCCUUCGAUGGAUAGGGGUUCUGAGAGGAAGGUCCCCCACAUUGGAACUGAGACACGGUCCAA
This 254-nucleotide ribosomal RNA is filed under the name uncultured bacterium. RNAcentral's name for it is "partial 16S ribosomal RNA". It matches the Rfam family "Bacterial small subunit ribosomal RNA", at positions 79 to 334 of the family's 1533-position model. The record is from RNAcentral.